This 5250-nucleotide long non-coding RNA is filed under the name Durio zibethinus. RNAcentral describes it as "long non-coding RNA (DZIB_LNC001320)". Lineage: Eukaryota; Viridiplantae; Streptophyta; Magnoliopsida; Malvales; Malvaceae. The record is from RNAcentral.
GGUGAUGGAACGGUAGGCUCUUCUCCACAAAGUCGCAUUUCGGGCGGUUAUCUGGCUUGUCGAUCUAUGCAUGGAGUUGAACAAUAAUAAGAACCCGAAUACUUAAAUGCACAAGAGGGAGUUGAACAAUCAUGCAAUGAGACCCCUAUUACCUAAUGCACGAUAGGAGCAAUAUGUGGGGAGGAGCCGCAAGAGGAGUUGAACAAUCAUGCAAUGAGACCCCUACCUAUGCAUAAUAGGAGCAAUGUGUGCGGAGGAGUCGCGACCUCCCUCGACCUCCCUCCCACACUAAACGUGGAAGGCUAAUUGCAAGUCAGUGCCCUCUGAAAGAGGAUGACUCUGUGGGUGGUUCUCCUAACUGUUCCAUCACCUUUUUUUUUUUUUUUUCCUUUUUCGGCAUUUUAAGUGUUCAAACGAUAAAAAAUUUAUGAAAAACAUAUAUAGACAAAUAGAUUAUUGAUCUAAUCACAUAUUGCUGUUAUUUUCUUUAUUUUAUUUUCUUAUGAAAAAAAUUAAAAAAAAAACCAAAUAUAUUAACAAUGACGAAGUAUAAAAUGAUCGUUCUAAAACUUUCAACACAGCAAGUUCAAGUUAUAGAUCAUUAUUUGAUCAGAUUGACAGCUAAAUAAUUCUGUACCGUCCACCAUCGAUACUUCAGGUAGUUAUAAUUACAACUCUAUCAGUGGCUAAGUGUGGCUUGAUGUGCCAGUAUUAUGUAUCCUGACAUUGAAAACCACUUAGGAGUUUUGCCCUCGAAGGCCAAAAUUCUUCAUGGUUUCCUCAUCUUCAUCUAUUUUAUGGUCCUUCAUGCUCUCCAAGAGCCCCUCCAGUUCUUUGCCAUUUCUGAUUAUCGCCUUCAAGAGAGCAUGAUACAUAUCUCUAUUUGCUGGAACCUUAGUUUCUCAAUAAUUUCACAAAAGCUUCUGCUCUUCAACUUCUCCAUUCUCACCUAGCCAACUCAAUAUGCUAGAUAUGUAUUAAAAUUGAUUUUGGACUCUAAUAUAUAUAUAUAUAUAUAUAUAUAAAUAUCUAUAUAUUUUGGGCCUGUAGAGCAAGAGCUUCCUUAAAGCACUUAAAAGCCUUCUCCAUAAUGUUGUUAUCCGCGUAUCGAGCUGCAACAAUAGGCCAACUGAUUGGACUUGCAGUCUUCCUUCUCUUCAUUAUAUCCUGUAGCUUUGCUUCGGCCUUCUUUCUUACAAUAUCCAAUAAGAAGGACAUUUGGCACUUGGAAAUCAUAAGUCUUCCAGGACAACUCCCACUUAUAAAGCAACUUUUCAGUUUCUUCAAGCUCACCAAGCUUCAUCAAUGAACCCAGCAUCCUUAUGUAGUUUAUGCUGGUAUGUUUCCUACAUUUGACCUUUUGAAGGUUCCCAAACUAGGAUACAAUGAAAUCAAGUGGUCAUAACCUAGUCCAUUUUUACCUACUUUUUUCUCACAUUCCUUGAGAUAAUGAAGUGCCUUUUCAUUAAGACCUGCUUUUAUGUAGUAGUUUGACAUUAUGGAAUAAGUAUCCCAAUCCAUUUGAAUCUGCCCUUGGCAUUCCAUCUCUUGUAGAACCUUGUCCACGCUAUUGUAAUCAGCUCUUGUCGCAUCAGAAUUUAUGCAAAUUCUAUAGCUGAACCUGUCGGGAUUUUCAAGUUGACCUGUGAUUGUCUAGAGGCACAUAAGGUUAUUGUAGUCAAGAGAAGAGGAAAGAAAACCCAUCUCCUUCAUCUUCUUCAUAAGGGAAAGGGCCUCGUCGAUCAGGCCUUCUUGAACAUAGCAAUUUAGAAGAGCACCGUAGGUGUUGACAGUUUUAUCUUGGUCUCUCAUGCUGCCAAAGAAGUUCGGAACUUUGCCCAUGAACUCUACCAAUUAGCCCAUAAAAACAUGGUGAAUUUCAAUAUCACUUCACCUACAUUGAAGACUUUGUCUCUGGACAUAGGUUACAGAGAUAAUCAUUUUGAAACUCGUGAUGAAGACAAGGUUGAAGCACGUAUUUUUCUUCCAAUAUAUGGAACUCAUCUCUUCCUAGCACUUAACAAUGUCAAGUGUCCUGAUUGCGUGGGAAACUCCCUUUGGACACACUGGUAAGAGACACUAACAAUGUUCUUUAUUACUGAAAUUAUAGAGUUUAUACUUAAUACAUUAUCAAUGAUUUUUUUUUUCUGUGCUUUAGACUGCUAGAAUUUGAUUCUGGUCACUUCACUUAAACCAAGAGUCCAGCACAUGAUACAUUAAACUCUAAUACAUUAUCAGUGAAUUACUGUUUCUACUCUAUCAAACCUAAUAUGGUAAUGCUAGUUAUUGUCAAUGGUACCCACUACUUACUAUUUCUCUUCUUUCAGGCACAUGAUUCUUUUCCUUUGUUCGUUAAUUUAACCCGACUGUUGCUAUCAUGUGUUGAUGAAAUUAAAUGGGAUCUGCUAUCGCUCUUCCUUGAAAAUUCUCAUAAACUAGAAACUUUUAUAGUUCAUAAUAAGGUCAGUUGAAUAUAGACAAAACUUUUCUAAUUCUUCCUAAACUAUGAUCUUACGUAUGAGUUGUGAUGUCUUUUGUCUCCAGAUAUUCACUAGCAAUGGGUGUGAAAGCCAGUGGACACAGCCAAGGGAUGUCCCUAUAUGUAUUUUGUCAAGUCCAACAGGGUAUGUUUUAAAAUUUUGGAAGGAUUGAAAGAUGAACUGAAAAUGGUAGGGUACUUUUUACCGAAUGCUAGAUUGUUGAGGACAACGGAAAUCUAAACCAAUAAUCAGUCUUCAGGUUCAAAUAUUCGUGAUGCUAUUGCUAAAGUGUUGUGGACAAGGGAAACCUACACCAGUAAUCAGUCUUCAGGUUCAAGAUUCGCAGUUUCAAGAGACAACUUUCAAUGUUGCCAGGGUUCUCGGAGACUUGUGUUUCUGUUAACUCAUUUAAUCAUUGGAAAAUUAAAAAAUUUCUAUUAAAUUUGAGAUGGAUAUUCUUAUUAUUCAUUAGUGUUGGCACAAAUAUAUGUUCCUUUGCUUGAUUAUCUGAUGUGAAUAUUUGGCAUGAAAAAGUUUUGAAUUAAGUCAAACAUACAUCGAACAUAUAUGAAUGCAUUCAUAGCAAUUUUUCUUUGCAAAACGAGCUGAAUAUUUGACAUAAAAAGAUUAUUGUUUAAACCAUAGUUUUAGUCUAAGAUGGAGCUGUGAAAUGUGAACAGUUAUAUGAAAUAAAAGUUAAAUUAUAGCAUAUUUGAAAGCGCUAGUAUAUGUUAUAACAUUUCCUACUCAAGUUUUUUUUAUGUAUUGAUAUUAAUCAAUGAAUUUAUAAAUGCAUGGCCAAAUGGGAAAAAAAACAUUUUAGAAUUAUGAUUAUAGAAUUGCUCAUUUUUACUCUCUUUCUCUGUUUGGUAGGCACAGGCCCAUCUCACUCAUCACCGGUGCCUCUUUGGUACAGUUAGCAGGGACUGUCUCUUUCUAUGCAAGCUGACUAUUGGAGAGGGUUCAAAUGGUUUUUGUUCAUAGGAAGGGCGAGCAGGGUUCAUAGUUGAUCUUGAAUCCAUUUUGGACUUUAGAUAUAUAGAUUUAGGGUUCACUAUUUAGGGUUUAGGGUUUAGAUAUAAACUGCUAUUAUGUUAUAUUAGCCAGACCAAUUGAUCCUAACUGGCGAGGCUCACAGCCUUUUUUGUUUUUUUUGUUUUAAAUAAGUAUUAAGUAAUUAAAACAUCUUGCUUUUGGGAGCAAAUGAAGUAGCAAGUGUCUCUCUCUUUUCCAUUUGUUUGUUAAUUGGUCAUGACAGCUGAGGUGUGGUAUCACUCUUCCUUCAAAAUUCUCAUAAACUAGAAACUCCUGUAGUUCGUAAUAAAGUCGGUUGAAUAUAGACAUGGAUUGCAAAACCUGAGAUCAUAUGUAUGAGUUGUGCUUUCGUUGACUCUAGAUAUUCACUAGCAAUAGGUGAGAAUGCCAUCAGACACAGCCAAAAGUGUCAUGGUCAUUGGAGGAGACAUGAAUCAACGUUGACUAUGAACUAGAGAUAAAUAUAACUAUUCACACUACUUUCAACUUGUGAUAUGUUUUUUUAUAAGAUAAAACGGAUAAUAUUUUACAAAGUCGGUGUGAUGUGAACCAUGACACAAACAUGUACACUGAUGUGUCUCUUAUCAAGUCUAGCAAAAGUACGUAUGUAUUAAUGUUAGCUUAUAACUUUUCUAUAUUGAUCAUGCUUUGAAUAUUGCAUGAAGAUACAGUAAAAACUUUUAAGAGUAGACGAUGGGCUCAACUACUAAAUCUUACGUACUUGCAUUAAAGAUCAAACUAAUUGUUAGUAUAUCUGUCUGCCCUAGGUUGGAGAUGAACAGCACCAAAGCAUGAUUCAAAAUUUUUUUUGUUUUUUUGGUCAUACCUCGAAACUAUUUGUAUUAGAAAAGUUGUAAGGUUGGAACAUGAGCUCGGAUUGAUAGAACACAUAGGGCCUUGAAUACAAUGACAAUCUGGAGCUAUGGUUUCUUUUCGGCUUCAGAUUUCCUUCUUCACAACAAUUUAUCAAUGAUUCAAAGGUGCUCUGAGACUCGUAAACUUGAAUUCAAAUGUGAAGAAUCAGCAGUCCUAAAAUUUCCCGGCCCCUUACUGAUGUAAUAAAAUCUUCUGUUGCAUAUAUAUGACACUUAAUAAUUAAGUCUAACUUAAUAUUAUUGAUAUUCUUAUUUGGUUAUCUUGGCUGUAACACAUCUCAUGAGAAUGUCCAACUUUGGAGUUUGAUUUUCGAUUUCUUAAGACUCUCCAGUCACUAAUCCUUGAAGUAUUCUUGAAACCAGUGUUACAGGCUUAAAAACAAUGUAAACAUGUCAUUGAAUCGCCAGAGAAUUAAACUUCGAAGUAGCCCUAAAUCUCACCACCUGAUCAGUCAGAACAAAACAUAUGGAUUAAAGGAGAAAACCAUCCCACAUCGCUUCAAAACAAGAUACCCCUUGUUAUUUAUAUAUUCUAAACUCAAAUCAGAUCAGCAAGGUGAUGGAACGGUAGGCUCUCCUCCACGGGGUCGGAUUUCGGGUGGUUAUUUGGCUUGCCGAUCUAUACAUGGAGUUGAACAAUACGAACCCUAUUACCUAUGUACAGGAGGAGUUGAACAAUUAGACAAUGAGACCCGUAUGCACAGAGGAGCAAUGUGUGUGGAGGAGCCGCCCCCCUCCCACACUAAGCGUGGAAGGCUAAUUGCAAGACAGUGCCCUCUGAAAGAGGAUGGCUCUGUGGGUGGUUCUCCUACUGAUCCAUCACCUUUUUUUUCCUUUUUCGGCAUUUCAAGUGUUCAAAC